AAUAGAUACCCUGGUAGUCCUGGCCUUAAACGAUGAUCACUAGGUGUAGGAGGCUUCGACCCCUUCUGCGCCGCCGCUAACGCAUUAAGUGAUCCGCCUGGGGAGUACGGCCGCAAGGUUAAAACUCAAAGGAAUUGACGGGGACCCGCACAAGCGGUGGAGCAUGUGGUUUAAUUCGACGCAACGCGAAGAACCUUACCUGGGCUAGAAUGCCUCUGACAACCCUAGAGAUAGGGCCUUCUGGGUAAAACCAGACGGAGUGCAAGGUGCUGCAUGGCUGUCGUCAGCUCGUGUCGUGAGAUGUUGGGUUAAGUCCCGCAACGAGCGCAACCCUUGUCAGUAGUUGCCAGCGGUUCGGCCGGGCACUCUACUGAGACUGCCGUUGAUAAAACGGAGGAAGGUGGGGAUGACGUCAAGUCCUCAUGGCCUUUAUGUCCAGGGCUACACACGUGCUACAAUGGCAGGUACAAACCGCUGCAAACUCGCAAGAGGGAGCCAAUCGGAAAAAGCCUGUCUCAGUUCGGA
Molecule: ribosomal RNA, 525 nt
Filed under: uncultured bacterium
Lineage: Bacteria
Description: bacterial SSU rRNA
Rfam family: Bacterial small subunit ribosomal RNA
Source: RNAcentral